AAGCGUGCGCAGGCGGUUUUGUAAGACAGUGGUGAAAUCCCCGGGCCUCAACCUGGGAACUGCCAUUGUGACUGCAAAGCUAGAGUGCGGCAGAGGGGGAUGGAAUUCCGCGUGUAGCAGUGAAAUGCGUAGAUAUGCGGAGGAACACCGAUGGCGAAGGCAAUCCCCUGGGCCUGCACUGACGCUCAUGCACGAAAGCGUGGGGAGCAAACAGGAUUAGAUACCCUUGU
Molecule: ribosomal RNA, 230 nt
Filed under: uncultured bacterium
Lineage: Bacteria
Description: partial 16S ribosomal RNA
Rfam family: Bacterial small subunit ribosomal RNA
Source: RNAcentral